This 277-nucleotide long non-coding RNA is filed under the name Gossypium barbadense (sea-island cotton). RNAcentral describes it as "long non-coding RNA (GBAR_LNC005488)". Lineage: Eukaryota; Viridiplantae; Streptophyta; Magnoliopsida; Malvales; Malvaceae. The record is from RNAcentral.
AAAUUCACACACAACCGGCACUGAUUCAACUUUCUUUUCAACUUCUUUUGUAUUAAUUACAUACGCCAAAUAAGCUUCAUAACCCUUUCUCAAAUAUCUCUGAGCCAACAUCGAAGAAAUCAUACUAGAUAAUGCCUCUGAUUUAUCUGAUUCAACUCGCAGAGUUUCACCAUUUCCACAUUUUAAUUCUAUAAUCUUUUCUUUGCAAUUUAUUUUAGCAUCAUGCAAUGUCAACCAAUCCAUACCCAAAAUAACAUCAAACUCAUCAAACGGCAAC